This 737-nucleotide long non-coding RNA is filed under the name Panax ginseng (ginseng). RNAcentral's name for it is "long non-coding RNA (PGIN_LNC006962)". The record is from RNAcentral. Lineage: Eukaryota; Viridiplantae; Streptophyta; Magnoliopsida; Apiales; Araliaceae.
UUUUUACUCAUCUUCCCCAUUUUCAUCAUCUUCCCCAUUACACCAUAGAACUCACCAAAAAUUUUAAAAUUCAAAAUACCCAAAUCAUUCAUCCUCUUCCAUGUAACUAUGAUGAAGCUCAAAAAUCUGAAACUAAAAACCCCAAAUCGUUUAUCGUCUUCAAAAUUUUGUCCAAUCUCAAACUCACUUUCAUUUUCUCUCUCUAAGAGGAAGAACCAAAAACCCAAACCCAAACCCAGAAUUUUAGAAAUCUCAUGAGCAGAGGAAGAAACUAUCAUGAGCAGAGGAAGAACCAAAAAUCCAAACUCAGAUCUUCAUCUUCACCCCAAAAUUCAGAUCUGCCAUGGGAGAUGAGCACCGGAGGUUGGGUGGUGCUAGAGCCUAAAUUUGCCUCGUGUUUUGGAGUUGACGAUGUGAAUUUGUAUGAAUCUUCCAUGGACGUUUCAAAUGGAUUCCAUGUAUGAAUCCCAAAAUUCAGAUAUGCAAUUAUGGAGAAGGAAAUGGAUUUAGUUCCCUACAAAUCCAAUUUGGUCGAAAUCUAUAACUUUUCUUUUCAGUCCUCGUUUUCUCCAAAUUGGGUUUUAGUCUUUUUUAUUUUAUUUUAUUAUUCUAAGCUGGAUUGGACUGAUAGUGGUUUUGAUUUGUUUUUUUUAUUUUAUUAUUUGAUCUGCAAUAUUUUGGUAUUGUACUACUUAAUUUUGUUUAGUUCUUAUGUAUUUCUCCAAAUUGAGUUUUAG